This 1026-nucleotide unclassified non-coding RNA is filed under the name Hevea brasiliensis (rubber tree). Lineage: Eukaryota; Viridiplantae; Streptophyta; Magnoliopsida; Malpighiales; Euphorbiaceae. The record is from RNAcentral.
CGAUGUUUCACAUUUUUUCGCUGAACUCUGUGUUGUUGUGCGCGCUGAGGGCGGGGGCGGCGGUGGCGAUAAUGCCGAAGUUUGAGAUGAAUAUGAUGUUGGAGGUGAUUGAGAAGUAUAAGGUGACGUUGGCGGCCGUGGUGCCGCCGUUGGUGCUGGCACUGGCGAAGAAUCCGGUGGUGGAGAAGUAUGAUCUUGGUUCCGUGAGUAAGGUGUUGUCGGGGGCGGCUCCGCUGGGAAAGGAUCUUGAGGAGGCCCUGUCGAGACGAGUCCCAUUGGCGGUGUUCGGACAGGGAUAUGGAAUGACAGAGGCUGGUCCAGUGCUAUCUAUGUGCUCUGCUUUCGCAAAGGUACCUUCACCAAGCAAGUCAGGCUCUUGCGGGACAGUAGUCAGGAAUGCAGAGCUCAAGGUUAUAGACACCGAAACUGGUUUCUCUCUCGGUCGCAACCAGCCUGGUGAGAUAUGCAUUCGCGGGCCGCAAAUCAUGAAAGGUUAUUUGAAUGAUCCGAAUGCUACAUCAACAACAAUUGAUGUUGAAGGGUGGCUUCACACUGGUGAUGUUGGAUUUGUAGACGAUGAUGAUGAAGUCUUCAUAGUUGACAGAGUAAAGGAGCUCAUCAAAUUCAAGGGAUUUCAGGUUCCGCCGGCAGAACUUGAGGCGCUACUUGUCAGUCAUCCAUCCAUUGUUGAUGCAGCUGUCGUCCCAAAAAUGGACGAGAACGCAGGUGAAGUUCCAGUCGCGUUUAUUGUCCGAUCGAAAGAUUCGGACAUCACAGAGCAAGCUGUGAAAGAAUUCAUAUCCAAACAGGUGGUGUUUUACAAGAGAUUGCAUUCGGUCUAUUUUGUUCAUUCGAUCCCGAAAUCGGUUUCAGGGAAAAUACUAAGGAAAGAUCUGAGAGCCAGAUUAGCCAGUUCUUGAAGGAAUCUCUUAUUUGUUAUGUAUGAUUAUUGUGUAAUUUAUUGUGACGACCGUCGAUUAGAUCGAUUUGUUAAUAAACAAGUUGUGUUCUAAUUUGAACAAUCUG